Molecule: long non-coding RNA, 1608 nt
Organism: Pogona vitticeps (central bearded dragon)
Lineage: Eukaryota; Metazoa; Chordata; Lepidosauria; Squamata; Agamidae
Source: Ensembl
AUUUUCAAAGCUACUUAGCCAUUUUAACCACCCUGCUUCCUAGCUGAGCCACAUCCCUUUGGGAAACGUAGCACCCAAAUUGCUGGCCAUUGUGAGAAACAGCCGGUGGCCCCAUGAUUAUUGCCCACCCCUGCUGUACCAUACGUGCGUAAGCCUACCAAAUUGCGGGAAAAGGCACAAGACAAUGAUGCAGUGAUGGUUCAUGAUCAGAAAAGGGGGUGCCCACCAAAAAUCUAGAGCUGAAAUUCAGAGCAACAUCUAACUUUAAGAAAUACGCAACUUAAUUGAAUAGACCUAGGAAUUUCCUCGCCUGGUCUGGAGAAGCUGCAGCACACUCCAUGUGCUCUGUCCAGCUUCUGCCCAAACCUGAAAUCUGGCAUGGCCCUACAAAUGCUGAGGCUUUCUAGAUCUGCCUCUCAAUGGAAAGUGCACAGGAGACCUUGAAAUCUUGGCCAGCAGUCACAGGUCUAUCCUCCUUCACAUGUGUCUAUUGUAGCCUUGGAUACCCACUGUGGUAUAGUAGUGGAUAGAGUAACAGUCUAGAAUCAGGAGGCCUGGGUUCCGAUCCCUACUCAGCCAUGGAAACCCACCUGCAGUGUGGAAUUGGUAAAACCACUCCUUAAAUAUCUCGCUUACCUUGAAAAUCCUAUUAGGGUUUUGUAAGUCAGUUCCUACUUGAAGGCACAUGACAACUAUCAUAUUCUUGCAUGAGUGAAACAUCUGUACAGACAGAACAAAGGCAGGUGGGGCGGGCGGAGGUUGGAAUAUAUGGCCCUUCCUUACCUUCUAUUUAUAGAUUAAGAGAGGUUUUCAGGUAAAUGAAACAAAUAACAAUUGAGGAAGACAACAGCAAGGAGUGUAGGAAGCCAGGAGAGACUCUCCAGGCUAACCUGUGGGGAUCAACAGCAACUCAGCCUGGAAUAAGGACUGAAGAGGAGUGGAGAAAAGAAUCAGGAUAAAAGAAAGUUCCAGCUUGGAAAUCACAUGUGGUGAUUUCAUUGCAACAGCCUUGUUCUCACAGUGACUCAGCAACUACCCGAAUUAGCAGCCUAGCACAGGCAAGUGGCAGUCCAGGUGCACUGGCGGUGCUUCUUCUCCAUCACAACAGCCCGAGCAGUACGACAGGAGUGUCGCAUGCUGCUGGGAGGCUGAGCUGACUUCCAGCGGCCCUAAGAGCCUUCUUCCUUAACCAGGCACAGGGUCCUUCCUUCCCAUCAGCUCUUAGGGACUUUUUAGGCAGAUGCUUUGGAUUCAGGAGCUGCAGCUAAACAGACUAAGUCAUCCAAUGUGACUCAGCAUUACUCAUUCCCUUGCUCAUUCCCUUGCUCUGGUGGAGGAAACAUGGAGGAGUCCUUAACGCUUCUCUCAACAGGCAUAUAAAUUGGUCCCUGCGCAGGAGCUAGAGAGAGGUUCCCUCUACGAGACGGUGCUAGGAUUUUUCAGCGAUUUCAAAGUGCUAUGCAAAUCCCUGGAUCUCACAAGGCCACAUCAUUUCUCCUGUAAUUAUUAGCAGAAAGUAAAGGCAGGAAUCUCCUAGGAAAUUUGGUGAGAGUGUGUAAUAACAUGUGGUUGACGAUAAUAUAUCUUUCUUUAUUUUGGUCAGUGUUC